This is a small nuclear RNA of Artibeus jamaicensis (Jamaican fruit-eating bat), 104 nucleotides long. The record is from RefSeq and is a predicted model, not a curated record. NCBI's taxonomy places the organism in Eukaryota, Metazoa, Chordata, Mammalia, Chiroptera, Phyllostomidae.
GUGCUCGUUUCCACAGCACACAUUCUAAAAACUGGAACGACAGAGAAGAUUAGCACGGGCCCUGCACAGGGGUGACAUGAAUUCGUGAAGCGUUCCAGCACUUU